RNAcentral lists this ribosomal RNA (609 nucleotides) under uncultured archaeon. RNAcentral describes it as "bacterial SSU rRNA". It matches the Rfam family "Archaeal small subunit ribosomal RNA", at positions 23 to 637 of the family's 1478-position model. The record is from RNAcentral.
GUCACUGCUAUUGGGAUUCGACUAAGCCAUGCGAGUCGAGAGGGUUCGGCCCUCGGCUGACGGCUCAGUAACACGUGGAUAAUCUGCUCUUAGGUGGAGGAUACCCUCGGGAAACUGAGAAUAAUACUCCAUAGGUCUGGGAUGCUGGAAUGCACCUAGGCUCAAAGUUCCGGCGCCUAAGGAUGAGUCUGCGGACUAUCAGGUUGUAGUCAGGGUAAUGACCUGACUAGCCUACGACGGAUAUGGGUUGUGAGAGCAAUAACCCAGAGAUGAUAUCUGAGACACGAUAUCAGGCCCUACGGGGCGCAGCAGGCGCGAAAACUUCACAAUGUGCGAAAGCACGAUGAGGGAAUCCCAAGUGCUUGCACGUAAGUGUAAGCUGUUUCUAUGUUUAAAACGCAUAGAGAGUAAGAGCUGGGUAAGACGGGUGCCAGCCGCCGCGGUAAUACCUGCAGCUCAAGUGGUGGCCGCUAUUAUUGGGCCUAAAACGUCCGUAGCCAGUUUAAUAAAUGCCUGGGUAAAUCGUGUAGCUUAACUAUACGAAUUCCGGGUAGACUGCUAAGCUUGAGACCGGGAGAAGCUAGAGGUACUCCUGGGGUAGAGGUGAAA